UGUAAUGAGAGGGAAAUGUGCCGGGUGUUUGGAAAUAGAAUUCUUCUUUUUCAGCUGCAAGUUUCCGAGCACAUACCAGGCUGCUCCGUGUCAAGACGAGCCGGGCACUUUGCGGGGACACCAGGAAUGCUAAGGACACCCCAGCGGGGAGCUCGGGAGGUUAGAGUCAUCCUGCAGCAGAGCCCUUGAAGGACAUCCGGAACCGCACAGCUGCUGCCUCUGCGCCUGUGUUUUGUGAACGGAUGAAGUUUCUUCCGAAAUUUCUCCAGCAUGAAAAAAAAUGACCAACUUCUUAAGGCUCAGGAGGGCAAAUGUUUCCAAUGGUAUUGUACGCUCUGUAUUGUUCAGCUAAGAAUGUGCCCUUCUUACUAUGAUGGUGGUUGUUGAUUGUUGAUUUACCCAGAACUAGAGGACAGGACUGUCUCCCUCUUGGAAAGAUCGAGUGUCUUAUUUAAUUAAUUCAAGAAAUCCUUAUUGAUCAUCUACUCUGGAACAAGCUGAGUGUGAGGCUCACUUUGGGGGGAAAUGAAAGAGAAAAAAAAUUGCU
Molecule: long non-coding RNA, 547 nt
Organism: Saimiri boliviensis boliviensis (Bolivian squirrel monkey)
Lineage: Eukaryota; Metazoa; Chordata; Mammalia; Primates; Cebidae
Source: RefSeq, a predicted model, not a curated record